RNAcentral lists this long non-coding RNA (398 nucleotides) under Lathyrus oleraceus (garden pea). Its description in RNAcentral is "Pisum sativum (pea) long non-coding RNA (PSAT_LNC032713)". Lineage: Eukaryota; Viridiplantae; Streptophyta; Magnoliopsida; Fabales; Fabaceae. The record is from RNAcentral.
AGAAAGGAGACGAGUGAACUCACCGGAGGUAAUAGGUCACGUUCACCGUAAUUUCGUCGGAGCUUCAAAACUCCGACCAGGUCCGUUAUCGCAUUUAAAAAAAACAUUUCCUUUUUCAUGAUUAUUCCUUGUUGACUGGAUGAGUAUCGUUCGAUUUACUUUCGUUUCAUUGUUGCUCAGAUUCACAAGAGGUUUCGAUCUAGUUUUUUUUUCCAGAUCUGUUUGUGUAGCUUAGCACUUGAUGUAUGAAUGAUAACAGUUAUGAGAAAUUGUUUGAUGAUGAUUGAUUUUCGAAAGAGUUCAAGGAGAUGAAUUGCAGUUGUUGUUUAAGUUCAAGUAGAAUUAUGGUUUAACAAAGGGACAUAUUCAUCUGGUUUUGAGAGAAUAUGAUCUUGACU